UACUUGUGAUGAUUAAUUUUAUGUGUCAACGUGUCUGGGCCACUGGGUGCCCAGAUAUUUGGCUACACAUUAUUCCAGGUGUGUCUGCGAGGGUA
Equus caballus (horse) is the source of this 95-nucleotide small nucleolar RNA. NCBI's taxonomy places the organism in Eukaryota, Metazoa, Chordata, Mammalia, Perissodactyla, Equidae. The record is from Ensembl.